RNAcentral lists this ribosomal RNA (454 nucleotides) under uncultured bacterium. RNAcentral describes it as "partial 16S ribosomal RNA". It matches the Rfam family "Bacterial small subunit ribosomal RNA", at positions 28 to 507 of the family's 1533-position model. The record is from RNAcentral.
GAUGAACGCUGACAGAAUGCUUAACGCAUGCAAGUCUACUUGAACUUCGGUUUGGGUGGCGGACGGGUGAGUAACGCGUAAAGAACUUGCCUCACAGUUAGGGACAACAUUUGGAAACGAAUGCUAAUACCUGAUAUUAUGAUUUUAGGGCAUCCUAGGAUUAUGAAAGCUAUAUGUGCUGUGAGAGAGCUUUGCGUCCCAUUAGCUAGUUGGAGAGGUAACGGCUCACCAAGGCGAUGAUGGGUAGCCGGCCUGAGAGGGUGAACGGCCACAAGGGGACUGAGACACGGCCCUUACUCCUACGGGAGGCAGCAGUGGGGAAUAUUGGACAAUGGACCAAAAGUCUGAUCCAGCAAUUCUGUGUGCACGAUGACGUUUUUCGGAAUGUAAAGUGCUUUCAGUUGGGAAGAAAAAAAUGACGGUACCAACAGAAGAAGUGACGGCUAAAUACGUG